GCUGGGUGUGGUGGUGCACGCCUGUAGUCCCAGCUACUUGGGAGGUUGAGGUAGGAGGAUCCCUUGAGCCCAGGAGUCCUGGGUGAGCCUGGGCAACAUAGUGGGACCCUGUCUCUU
Molecule: unclassified non-coding RNA, 117 nt
Organism: Pongo abelii (Sumatran orangutan)
Lineage: Eukaryota; Metazoa; Chordata; Mammalia; Primates; Hominidae
Rfam family: Metazoan signal recognition particle RNA
About the family: The signal recognition particle (SRP) is a universally conserved ribonucleoprotein. It is involved in the co-translational targeting of proteins to membranes.
Source: Ensembl